This 492-nucleotide ribosomal RNA is filed under the name uncultured bacterium. RNAcentral describes it as "partial 16S ribosomal RNA". It matches the Rfam family "Bacterial small subunit ribosomal RNA", at positions 29 to 507 of the family's 1533-position model. The record is from RNAcentral.
AGUGAACGCUGGCGGUAGGCCUAACACAUGCAAGUCGAACGGCAGCACAGUAAGAGCUUGCUCUUACGGGUGGCGAGUGGCGGACGGGUGAGGAAUACAUCGGAAUCUACUUUUUCGUGGGGGAUAACGUAGGGAAACUUACGCUAAUACCGCAUACGACCUACGGGUGAAAGCAGGGGAUCUUCGGACCUUGCGCGAUUGAAUGAGCCGAUGUCGGAUUAGCUGGUUGGCGGGGUAAAGGCCCACCAAGGCGACGAUCCGUAGCUGGUCUGAGAGGAUGAUCAGGCACACUGGAACAGAGGCACGCUCCAGACUCCUAGGGGAAGCAGCAGUGGGGAAUACUGCGCAAGGGGCGAAAGCCUGAUCCUGCCCAACCGGGUGAGUGAAGAAGGCCUUCGGCUUGGGAAGCCCUUUUGUUGGGAAAGAAAAGCAACUCGUUAAUAGCCCGCUGUUCUGACGGUACCCGGAGAAUAAGCACCGGCUAACUUCGUG